AGGGUUGUAGCUCAGUGGUAGAGCACUCACCUCAUGUAUGUGAGGCACUGGAUUCAAUUCCCAGCACCUCAU
RNAcentral lists this transfer RNA (72 nucleotides) under Ictidomys tridecemlineatus (thirteen-lined ground squirrel). Its description in RNAcentral is "Spermophilus tridecemlineatus (thirteen-lined ground squirrel) tRNA". It matches the Rfam family "tRNA". Rfam says of the family: Transfer RNA (tRNA) molecules are approximately 80 nucleotides in length. Lineage: Eukaryota; Metazoa; Chordata; Mammalia; Rodentia; Sciuridae. The record is from Rfam by way of RNAcentral.